Molecule: long non-coding RNA, 1349 nt
Organism: Balaenoptera ricei (Rice's whale)
Lineage: Eukaryota; Metazoa; Chordata; Mammalia; Artiodactyla; Balaenopteridae
Exons: 2
Source: RefSeq, a predicted model, not a curated record
UUGGGCGCGCGUCGGGAGAAGAGCUGCAGCCGGGGUCAACCUCCGCAGCAUGGGGUCGACCCGGGCCGGCCCGGGUCCAGUGUGAGACAUUCCCCCCCUUUCCAAUCCCGGCUGCCGUGAGCUGGUCUCCUGGAGUGACCCCUGACGUGGGAGACUGGGCUUUGUGCCCGGACCCGACCCCAGAUUUCUUACCCCGACCGGGCCCCAGAGGUUUCAAAGAAGCGGAGGACCCCUGAGUGGGAGUCUUCCUGGAGUGUGAACCUAUCUGCAGAGACCCCUCUCCUGAGAGAAAAUGACUACAGAUCUUAUUAUUCAGAAUGAAAAAAAACCCAGGAGGGACCUGUGAUAGUAAAGGUGGAGGAAGAGAACUUUUUUGUACAAGAAAUUGACUUGCAGCAGAAUAGCCAGUCCAGCCAGGAAGUCUUCUGCCAACACUUUAGACGGUUCUGCUACCAGGAGACACCUGGACCCAGGGAGGCUCUGAGCCAACUCCAGGAACUUUGCUGUCAGUGGUUGAGCCCAGAGAAUCAUAAAAAGGAGCAGAUCCUGCAGUUGCUGGUGUUGGAGCAGUUCGUGGCCAUCCUGCCUGAGGAGCUCCAGGCUUGGGUGCUGGAGCAUCAUCCAUUGAAUGGAGAUGAGGCUGUGUCUUUGCUGGGAGAUUUGGAGAGAGAACUUGAUGAUCCAGAAUUUCAGGUGGGAAGAGGAAGCAUGUUCUGCUGUGGCAAUCAGACCAUUAAAUUAACCACAUUUAAUAGUUUGGUUCCUUAAUAGUGUCAGUUCCUUUUUCUGUCUCAUCUCUCCUGCUAAGCCCAUUCAGUCCCUUUUCCUAAUCCUGUCUCCAUGGGAGUUGUUUCCUAAGGUUUUAGCUCUGGUUUUCACAGUAGUUUCCUCCUAAGCCCAGUGGUCCCUAACUGUCUCCAGGGCACAUCUCAAGCAGGUGGACAGGAAAUGCUCUGGCAGGAGGUGAUAUCUCUGGGAGCUGCACAACAGUCACCAAGUUGUCAGCUCUGGCACGUGGAGACCCUGCUCAAGCAUGACUCUAUAGUCACAAAAUAUAGAAAGUAUUAAGAUGAAAACCCCAUUUCCUACGAGAGAGGUGAGGAGGAGAGGGAGGAAUCUAUCUGGGAAGGUGGGUUAGGGUAGCAGGCUCCUACUUGGCCGGCCAAAGCCAUCCUUUACAACUUAAUCAGUAGUGUUUCUAACCCUAACUCUCACCUGAAAUCUUCCCUGGCUCAUCUGCCUCUCUCUUUACAAAGUACAACCUUUAUUCUUGGUCUUUUAAGCAAAAUAUUUUUAUUUUAUCUGUUUUCGUAUACCAUGUUGGUUUUCAUUAAAGCAUUAAACUAUCA